UAAGACAACAAAUUCUGCGAGACUAUGCUCCUUUCUUCGUCCCGGCUCAUCGUCGUUCCAGAGCCUUGCUUGCCGUGGGAGAGCGUGUCCAAAGAUUUGUCGAGGGAGAAGCCAAACCGCUUCGCGCAUCUCACCUAAAAUUCUUUAACCAAACGUGUCUUUGUCUGAGUAACGUCUUUUAUAAAGCAAAACUUUCAACAACGGAUCUCUUGGUUCUGGCAUCGAUGAAGAACGCAGCGAAAUGCGAUAAGUAAUGCGAAUUGCAGAAUUCUCGUGAGUCAUCGAAUCUUUGAACGCACAUUGCGCCCUUUGGUAUUCCGAAGGGCAUGCCUGUUCGAGCGUCAUUUUCACCCCUCAAGCCCCCGGCUUGGUGUUGGACGGUCUGGUCCGGGGACCUCAAACCCCCUGGACCCCUCCCAAAGACAAUGACGGCGGGCUGUUGAACCCCCGGUACACUGAGCAUCUUCACGGAGCACGUACCGGUCUCAAGGGUCGACGGCACCCGGUCUAUACCUAUAUUUUUCAAGGUUGACCUCGGAUCAGGUAGGAAUACCCGCUGAACUUAAGCAUAUCAUAGCGGGGGAGGAAACUCGAGACGCUCAUAUUUGCUCUUUGGAAAU
RNAcentral lists this ribosomal RNA (620 nucleotides) under Exophiala sp. 04100405A. RNAcentral describes it as "eukaryotic LSU rRNA". The stretch from base 190 to 344 matches the Rfam family "5.8S ribosomal RNA". The record is from RNAcentral. Lineage: Eukaryota; Fungi; Ascomycota; Eurotiomycetes; Chaetothyriales; Herpotrichiellaceae.